This is a long non-coding RNA of Lagopus leucura (white-tailed ptarmigan), 1334 nucleotides long. RefSeq lists it as uncharacterized. NCBI's taxonomy places the organism in Eukaryota, Metazoa, Chordata, Aves, Galliformes, Phasianidae. The transcript has 3 exons. The record is from RefSeq and is a predicted model, not a curated record.
AGAAAGACCUUUCCGUUACUAAUUUUAAAGAUGGGAAGUGGCAGUGUUUGGAAGGUCAGAAGUUUCCUUCUCACCUCUGAAGUAAUGAAAAUAGGCAGCUGGUGGAAGACACUUCAAAAAAAUCUUUCACACCAAUGCUAUAUUAGCCUUAUCAGCAAAUUUUGACAGAUGCUCAAAUGGCCUUGCUCUUAAAGCUCCAAACAGUGGAAAUAUCAUCACUGCUAUAGACAACUUAGUCAGGUAGUCAACUAUUUUAUCCCUAGAAUGCUUUACCAGGAGUAACACCACAUUUUGCCAGCUAUAUUGCUUAUUUAUCUUUACUAUUUCAUAGAAUCAUAGAAUUGUUCAGGUUGGAAAAGACCUUGAAGACCAUCAAGUCCAACUGCAAUCUAACCUAUUUUGCACUUGGAACAAAAGUAAAACAGCCUAACAGCUUUGACAUUUACAGAACCUAUAUGGCAGUUAUGUGAUUUUUAUUUCAGAUUUGCAAAUCACAGCCCAGAUUUCGGAUGGGCUCAGCCUUUUGGGAAGCUCAGGGUAAGCUGGCACAGCUCCUUCACGCAUGUUUGUGUACGUGGCGCUGCUCCUACCUGUAUGCCAAGAAAGCCACCGGCCGCUGGUGCCCGUGUUCAUCCGUCAUCGAGCCCACGCUGGGGGGCUCCACGAUCACAUCGUAGAUAAUUCCUGCGAGGAAACAAACAAACACACAGCGUCAGCUUGGAGUCUCAAGCGAAGGGGGAAAACCAAGGCGACAGCUGGCAGGCGGGCAGCGCAUCCUAUGGCCCGCCGGGCGCCGCAGGACGUUCAGCCACGCGGCUUCCAUCGCCGCGGCCUCCCCUGGCGCGGCGGUACCUCCGGUGAUGAGGAAGUACGACACCACCACCAGCGCGUAGACCGUCAUGGCCGAGGGCAUGUGCACCCAUCCCGGUCGCUUCAGCUUGAUGUUGGGGCACUCGAGGACGGCGAAGGGCAGCCGGAACAGCGUCUCCAUGGCGGCGGCUCGGUGCGCACGCCGGUCCCGCGCCGCCGGGCGCUUUGCUCACACGAAGGCGGAAACGGAAAGCCAGCCGGGUCCUGGCAGGGGCGAGUAAAGAGAAGAAAAGCGAAAAAAAAAAAAAAGAUGAAACCAACAAAAUCCCCGCAAAGCGACGCUGGAACGUAAGAUAUUCUCUGCGCACGCCUUCGAUUUGCGAAAAACAUCCGGAAGCCGAGGCCGCUCCUCGGAGGGUAACGAUUCCCUUUACCCACCUGCCAGGGCCCAGCAGCCCUGACGUGUCGCCACCGAGUAGCCGGGAGGAGCGCGGCGGAGCGGGCGGAGCGCUGCCCGCAGGACA